UACGAAGGGGGCUAGCGUUGCUCGGAAUCACUGGGCGUAAAGCGCACGUAGGCGGCUUUUUAAGUCAGGGGUGAAAUCCUGGAGCUCAACUCCAGAACUGCCUUUGAUACUGAGGAGCUCGAGUCCGGGAGAGGUGAGUGGAACUGCGAGUGUAGAGGUGAAAUUCGUACAUAUUCGCAAGAACACCAGUGGCGAAGGCGGCUCACUGGCCCGGUACUGACGCUGAGGUGCGAAAGCGUGGGGAGCAAACAGG
This 253-nucleotide ribosomal RNA is filed under the name uncultured bacterium. RNAcentral's name for it is "partial 16S ribosomal RNA". It matches the Rfam family "Bacterial small subunit ribosomal RNA", at positions 524 to 776 of the family's 1533-position model. The record is from RNAcentral.